GACGAACGCUGGCGGCGUGCUUAACACAUGCAAGUCGAACGGAAAGGCCCUGCUUUUGUGGGGUGCUCGAGUGGCGAACGGGUGAGUAACACGUGAGUAACCUGCCCUUGACUUUGGGAUAACUUCAGGAAACUGGGCUAAUACCGGAUAGGAGCUCCUGCUGCAUGGUUGGGGUUGGAAAGUUUCGGCGGUUGGGGAUGGACUCGCGGCUUAUCAGCUUGUUGGUGGGGUAGUGGCUUACCAAGGCUUUGACGGGUAGCCGGCCUGAGAGGGUGACCGGCCACAUUGGGACUGAGAUACGGCCCAGACUCCUACGGGAGGCAGCAGUGGGGAAUAUUGCACAAUGGGCGGAAGCCUGAUGCAGCAACGCCGCGUGCGGGAUGACGGCCUUCGGGUUGUAAACCGCUUUCGCCUGUGACGAAGCGUGAGUGACGGUAAUGGGUAAAGAAGCACCGGCUAACUACGUG
This 467-nucleotide ribosomal RNA is filed under the name uncultured bacterium. RNAcentral's name for it is "partial 16S ribosomal RNA". It matches the Rfam family "Bacterial small subunit ribosomal RNA", at positions 28 to 507 of the family's 1533-position model. The record is from RNAcentral.